GUCGGGAUAGCUCAGCUGGUAGAGCAGAGGACUG
RNAcentral lists this transfer RNA (34 nucleotides) under Artocarpus heterophyllus (jackfruit). RNAcentral's name for it is "partial tRNA-Phe". The record is from RNAcentral. Lineage: Eukaryota; Viridiplantae; Streptophyta; Magnoliopsida; Rosales; Moraceae. RNAcentral also lists the same sequence under 38 other names.